Molecule: long non-coding RNA, 2436 nt
Organism: Drosophila biarmipes
Lineage: Eukaryota; Metazoa; Arthropoda; Insecta; Diptera; Drosophilidae
Exons: 2
Source: RefSeq, a predicted model, not a curated record
UCGAUGUCAUACACAUAGACCAUUAUGGCUUGGUAGACAUGGGUAGAGCCAACAAACACGUACUGGUAAUUAAAUACGUAUUUAGAAAGUUUGUAAGACUUUUUUCUGCAAAAACAAAAAAAGUCUAGAGAAGCAAUAGUAGCAAUAAAUAACUAUUUCAGGUCAUAUAGUACUCCAAGAUGAGUGAUCUCAGACUGUAGGACAUGCUUCAUAUAAUUUCAUGACUUCUUAGAAGAAAAUAAAGUGAAACACAUUAAGGUAGCCAAUGGAUAGCUAAUGGGCAAGUCGAAAGAGUAAAUAGAAGCUAAAUUGAUUGUCCAGACAAAGGAUUGUUCUGGGAUACAGUUUUAAAGACAGUUGAACAAUUAGUCAGCACCCAAGCUAAGUUUUAUUCGGAGUGUCUCAAAAGGGAAAAGUUUUAGAUAGCUUAAAAAUGAUAUUAGAGAUAAAUAAAAAUAGGGAAAGUAGAAAUUUAGAUUUUCGAUUCUCAAGUAGGCGUAUCCAAAAAGGUAAUUCCAAAAUUCAAAGUCCCUUACAGAGUGCCAAAUGUACUUCGUAAUGACAGGUAUUUCUUGGCCGAUGUUGAAUACCCCCAUGUACACCCCCAACUGUCGAAAACAAGGCUAAGCCUAUACAAGUCUUUGCAAUAGAGAUCACUAUUACUGCGACCGCCGAACAAAAAAUACCUAAAAAGUGCCGUCUACAAAAUGAAGCUUCUGCAAGUCAGAUAACCAUUUAAAUCAGAAUUGUACAUUUUUCGCAAAUAUGUCGGUAGAAGCUCCGUUCACUUUUGCUAAUACAUUUGUAUGAAGACUCUUAACAUACUUCUCCGUUCUCUCAGCCGGGAAAUCAAUUGAAAUCGCCUAUUAACAAUCAGGUAGCGCAUCACCAUUUUAUGAAUAUACUCAGAACUUCCUCAAUUUUGCUUUAAUUGACUUCAAAUUUUGACUCAACAUUCUUCAGAUAAAAUGCAUUUAAUUUAACAAAAAAAUAUAAAAAACAAAUAAAAACAAAAUAAAAUAAAUCAACUUUAAUACCUUGGUAGUGCCAACGAUACAUCCUUGCGUGUAUGCCACACUGCUUUAUUUUCGGUUCGAUAAAUUUACUAUGUCGGCAGAAAUCACUAAUAUGUACAGUUCUCCUUUCCUUGCAAUGAGGUUUUUGAAGCAGCUUAGCGGGAUCUACUCCGAUUCUCCUUCCUUAAAUUCACAGGCUCUAGCAAAUGAUUUUAACGUUAAUGACUUAUUAACACGAGACGAUUCCAUCCGGAAGCAAAGGAAAUUGCGGGGGAAAUCACAGAGAUUUUAGAUACCGAAGGGUUAGUCUUGGAAAAGUGGUCGUCGAAUUGUACCCUAAACGAAAGACGAGUCGAAGAGUCGGAAGUCCUUAUUGGAGAAUUGGCCGAUACAAAAACUUUGGGUCUCCUUUGGAGUCCAAAACAGGAUAGUUUAAAUUUAUCGUUCAGAAUAUAUAGCUCAAAGACCGACCCACAAACCGAGCCAUGGUUUUAUUUGCAGCGCGGCUGCUCGAUUCGUUACGAUUCAUUUGCCCUUUCUUUACCCUUCGUUUUUGUACAUGGACUCGACUCAUUGACCAGUUAAUCAGCACUUGGCCCACUGACAGCCAACUCGAAAUAAAGGUUUAUGUCCCAAAUAAUGGGUAUUCUACCUCUUAUCCAUGCCAGAGUUAGUCGAGCCUUUAGGAUAAGCGGUAUUGAUAUCUUCGGUUUAAUUCGGGUGUCGCUAGGAGUCACAGUACUCAGAUGUUUUUCAAUUAAAGUGGUUUACAAGCCAAGCAAGGCGUAUACAAACAAGCAGUACAUCAUCUGGCACCUCUUUGGUCAUUUACCGAUGUUUGGUCAUUUUACCGUUUCUUUUUAUUUAGGAUGUUCGUUGCAAAGCUGCAGGCAGGGGCGUAGCACAGUUGAUAAAUUACAAAAUACUAAAUUAAGAAUAAUAAAAUACUAAGUCUAAUACCAUAAGAAACUUCAAUGUUUCGAUGACGGCUAACAUCGCCGCCCUCGUGUGGACUCAUUGUUUCUUAACCGUCAUCAAUUUGCGGCUUGUUCCAAAAUCACCAAGAUUUAUAUAACAGCGCCCGUAACCCACUGAUAUCUCGGCGUAGAGGAAGCGCACAUCGGCUGCCUUAAUCUCCUCGCUACAAUCUCGUCGGCACCCAAGGGCGGUGCUGUUGCAAACAUCAUUGCUGGAGCCACCGGAGAUUGGUCAGCCCCAAACAUCACAUCCUACAGGGUGCGCACAGCGGCUGCGUUCCUAACCUCCAUAUCGUCACAGGAGAUCAUCAGCGGGAUUCAACCUACCUCCUUGUGGGACACCGAGAAGUUCAUCCCCAAUCAUUAUAUUUUAAAUGGAUGUAUCAAAAAGGCGUUCGAUUUACGAUAACUAUUAAAGGCAAAUAAUAAUGAAUUAGCAUGGA